Molecule: long non-coding RNA, 851 nt
Organism: Xiphophorus maculatus (southern platyfish)
Lineage: Eukaryota; Metazoa; Chordata; Actinopteri; Cyprinodontiformes; Poeciliidae
Exons: 4
Source: RefSeq, a predicted model, not a curated record
AGACAUGUGCUCCGGCAGCACAUAGGAGAUAUCAUCCCAGGGGUGGCGAUACAGACCCUGCUUCAGCCUCUUCUGGUCCAGGUUCUGAGCAAGUCCACAAAGGCCACACCAAUGAAGCCAUCCACAUUCAAGAUCAGGUUGGGCUUCUAGGUACCUGUACACGACUGAGGCACCUCCUCCAGCCACCAUGGUCCAGAUUCUGCCUCGAGGAUUCAACAGAGUCAGUUUGAGACUGGCACCACUCUUUGCAUCAAGAUCAGCGAUCUGUGGAGACCGUCUGAGUCAACAGAAGGAACCUUCCUGUUGCCCCAGCAGGAGGCAUGGAAGGAGUGAAGAAGAGGUGGAAGUGGCUGGUUAUCAAAGCAGCAGCGCAGCCACAUCAACAUGAACAGCUGCCACAGGGCAUGUACUGUUGCCCAAUUACUUCAUUAGAAACACAAGCUGCCUUCAUCAAGCAGGACGGGUCUGAAUUAUUUAAUGUUUUCUUUCCUGGAUGUUAAGAAUUGGCAGAAUCUUCUGUUUUAAUAAGAAAUACUGUUUUCAUCUGCAGUUCCACUUUGAUGUCCUCUUUCUAAUUAUAAAAUGCAAUAGCAUAUUGAUGAACCGGCAUGGGAAUAAAGGAAAGGAAACAUUUAUGAUAGCUUUUACAGAUAAGCCAUGCAGACAUAGACAUAUUUUUUGCACCCUUGGUAAGAAUCAGUGAAAGCCUUUAAAUUAGUUAAACUUUUACUGAAGCAAGAUGUUCUCAAACUGAAAAAAAACAUUUUAUUCUAUUUUUAGUUUGAGUACAUCAUUUCCAUGAAAAAAAACACAUCUCUACAAAAGCGGCCAACAGAGUUAACCAGAUCUAC